AGUGUACGCUGGCGGUAGGCCUAACACAUGCAAGUCGAACGGCAGCACAGUAAGAGCUUGCUCUUACGGGUGGCGAGUGGCGGACGGGUGAGGAAUACAUCGGAAUCUACUUUUUCGUGGGGGAUAACGUAGGGAAACUUACGCUAAUACCGCAUACGACCUACGGGUGAAAGCAGUGGAUCUUCGGACCUUGCGCGAUUGAAUGAGCCGAUGUCGGAUUAGCUAGUUGGCGGGGUAAAGGCCCACCAAGGCGACGAUCCGUAGCUGGUCUGAGAGGAUGAUCAGCCACACUGGAACUGAGACACGGUCCAGACUCCUACGGGAGGCAGCAGUGGGGAAUAUUGGACAAUGGGCGCAAGCCUGAUCCAGCCAUACCGCGUGGGUGAAGAAGGCCUUCGGGUUGUAAAGCCCUUUUGUUGGGAAAGAAAAGCAGCAGGUUAAUACCCCGCUGUUCUGACGGUACCCAAAGAAUAAGCACCGGCUAACUUCGUG
This 492-nucleotide ribosomal RNA is filed under the name uncultured bacterium. Its description in RNAcentral is "partial 16S ribosomal RNA". It matches the Rfam family "Bacterial small subunit ribosomal RNA", at positions 29 to 507 of the family's 1533-position model. The record is from RNAcentral.